GCGUGAGUGAUGAAGGUUUUCGGAUCGUAAAGCUCUGUUGUUAGGGAAGAACAAGUACCGUUCGAAUAGGGCGGUACCUUGACGGUACCUAACCAGAAAGCCACGGCUAACUACGUGCCAGCAGCCGCGGUAAUACGUAGGUGGCAAGCGUUGUCCGGAAUUAUUGGGCGUAAAGGGCUCGCAGGCGGUUUCUUAAGUCUGAUGUGAAAGCCCCCGGCUCAACCGGGGAGGGUCAUUGGAAACUGGGGAACUUGAGUGCAGAAGAGGAGAGUGGAAUUCCACGUGUAGCGGUGAAAUGCGUAGAGAUGUGGAGGAACACCAGUGGCGAAGGCGACUCUCUGGUCUGUAACUGACGCUGAGGAGCGAAAGCGUGGGGAGCGAACAGGAUUAGAUACCCUGGUAGUCCACGCCGUAAACGAUGAGUGCUAAGUGUUAGGGGGUUUCCGCCCCUUAGUGCUGCAGCUAACGCAUUAAGCACUCCGCCUGGGGAGUACGGUCGCAAGACUGAAACUCAAAGGAAUUGACGGGGGCCCGCACAAGCGGUGGAGCAUGUGGUUUAAUUCGAAGCAACGCGAAGAACCUUACCAGGUCUUGACAUCCUCUGACAAUCCUAGAGAUAGGACGUCCCCUUCGGGGGCAGAGUGACAGGUGGUGCAUGGUUGUCGUCAGCUCGUGUCGUGAGAUGUUGGGUUAAGUCCCGCAACGAGCG
Molecule: ribosomal RNA, 709 nt
Filed under: Bacillus sp. HBC 2
Lineage: Bacteria; Bacillati; Bacillota; Bacilli; Caryophanales; Bacillaceae
Description: bacterial SSU rRNA
Rfam family: Bacterial small subunit ribosomal RNA
Source: RNAcentral